GACGAACGCUGGCGGCGUGCUUAACACAUGCAAGUCGAACGAAGAGCGAUGGAAGCUUGCUUCUAUCAAUCUUAGUGGCGAACGGGUGAGUAACGCGUAAUCAACCUGCCCUUCAGAGGGGGACAACAGUUGGAAACGACUGCUAAUACCGCAUACGAUCUAAUCUCGGCAUCGAGGAUAGAUGAAAGGUGGCCUCUACAUGUAAGCUAUCACUGAAGGUGGGGAUUGCGGCUGAUUAGCUAGUUGGAGGGGUAACGGCCCACCAAGGCGAUGAUCAGUAGCCGGUAGGAGGGGACGAAUGGCCACACUGGGAGGGAGACACGGCCCAGACGGCUAGGGGAGGCAGCAGUGGGGAAUCGGCCGGAAGCGGUGAAAGACUGACGGAGAAACGCCGCGGGAGGGAUGACGGACGUCGGGUUGGAAAGGUCGGUUAAUCGGUACGAAAGGGCUUCUUGCGAAUAGUGAGAAGGAUUGACGGUAACGGAAUAGAAAGCCACGGCUAACUACGUG
Molecule: ribosomal RNA, 510 nt
Filed under: uncultured bacterium
Lineage: Bacteria
Description: partial 16S ribosomal RNA
Rfam family: Bacterial small subunit ribosomal RNA
Source: RNAcentral